CGUAGGGUCCAAGCGUUAAUCGGAAUUACUGGGCGUAAAGCGUGCGCAGGCGGUUGGCAAAGUCAGCUGUGAAAGCCCCGGGCUUAACCUGGGAAUGGCGGUUGAAACUAGUCGACUAGAAUCUGGCAGAGGGGGGUGGAAUUCCACGUGUAGCAGUGAAAUGCGUAGAGAUGUGGAGGAACACCGAUGGCGAAGGCAGCCCCCUGGGCUGAGAUUGACGCUCAGGCACGAAAGCGUGGGGAGCAAACAGGAUUAGAUACCCUGGUAGUCCACGCCCUAAACGAUGUCAACUAGGUGUUGGGAGCGCAAGUUCUCAGUACCGCAGCUAACGCGUGAAGUUGACCGCCUGGGGAGUACGGUCGCAAGAUUA
RNAcentral lists this ribosomal RNA (370 nucleotides) under uncultured organism. RNAcentral describes it as "bacterial SSU rRNA". It matches the Rfam family "Bacterial small subunit ribosomal RNA", at positions 526 to 896 of the family's 1533-position model. The record is from RNAcentral.